Molecule: non-coding RNA, 89 nt
Filed under: Pseudomonas sp. StFLB209
Lineage: Bacteria; Pseudomonadati; Pseudomonadota; Gammaproteobacteria; Pseudomonadales; Pseudomonadaceae
Source: RNAcentral
CGUUAUGGCGGCUGUGUGCGGGAGGCCUUCGGGUCUGCCGGGUUUCUCAUUUGCCCCGGUUCGCCAACCCUCACACAGCUGCCACCCUU